This 486-nucleotide ribosomal RNA is filed under the name uncultured bacterium. Its description in RNAcentral is "bacterial SSU rRNA". It matches the Rfam family "Bacterial small subunit ribosomal RNA", at positions 28 to 514 of the family's 1533-position model. The record is from RNAcentral.
GACGAACGCUGGCGGCGUGCCUAACACAUGCAAGUCGAACGAAGCUUGACGAAUGAUUCUUCGGAUGAAUUCCGAUAUGACUGAGUGGCGGACGGGUGAGUAACGCGUGAGGAACCUGCCCUUCAGAGGGGGAUAGCGUCUGGAAACGGACGGUAAUACCGCAUAAAGUAUAAUUGUGGCAUCACAGAUAUACCAAAGCUAUUGCGCUGAAGGAUGGCCUCGCGUCUGAUUAGAUAGUUGGUGGGGUAACGGCCUACCAAGUCGACGAUCAGUAGCCGGACUGAGAGGUUGAACGGCCACAUUGGGACUGAGACACGGCCCAGACUCCUACGGGAGGCAGCAGUGGGGAAUAUUGCACAAUGGGCGCAAGCCUGAUGCAGCAACGCCGCGUGAAGGAAGACGGUUUUCGGAUUGUAAACUUCUGUUCUUAGUGAAGAAUAAUGACGGUAGCUAAGGAGCAAGCCACGGCUAACUACGUGCCAGCAG